This 71-nucleotide unclassified non-coding RNA is filed under the name Nitratireductor indicus. Its description in RNAcentral is "suhB". Lineage: Bacteria; Pseudomonadati; Pseudomonadota; Alphaproteobacteria; Hyphomicrobiales; Phyllobacteriaceae. The record is from RNAcentral.
AGGUUUCGCCUAUAUGGCACUUCCAAUGACUUGAGCCGGGUCUUCGUGAUCCGGCUUUUUUUUUUGAUCUC